GUUUCUCAGAGAUACUGACAUUUAUAUCUACUGCAAGAGACACACAGAGCAAUCAUGUUAUUCUUCUUUGUAUUGAUAAUUGUCAAAAAUAUUGCAGGUGCUGUUGACAGCAACGUUACACCAGACCAAACCAUCAUAUCUUCAAUUGAAGGCAGCAACAUCACACUGACCUGCACAUAUGAUCAAUCAGCUGAAUAUAUCCACUGGUAUCGACAAAAACCUCAAUCAGAACCAGAGUUUUUGCUGCUGAUUUAUAAAUCCACAGACACUAGAUCUGUACAUGUGCUUGACCCACGACUAUCCACCAAACUUCGUAAAAAUGAGAAGAAAGUAGAUCUGGAGAUCUUUCCUGCUGCAGUAUCAGACUCUGCACUGUACUACUGUGCCAUGGUGCCCACAGUGACACAAAACUCUAACCGACUGUACAAAAAGUCAAACCUGAUAUUUUUUUCUCAGCAGGUGGAGCUGUUUAUCUGUUUCAUUCAAAUAGAGUCAUAUACUAGUUCUAUAUAUUGAUCAUCUUCUUACCAAAAUUGAUAAAGCUUAAUGUUUGAACAAUGUGUUCAUAUGGAUAUUUCCAGGUCUUCUAUAAUUUAUUUCUAGGCCAUACAGGAUAAGCAAAAAUUGGAUUUGAUGUAGUUAUGUCACAGUAAAUAUUUGUAUAGGAUACUUUGGUCUAGACAUUUUCAGAGAAUACACACAUCACCUCUGAGUACAGAAGCUAAAAUUUUGAGUCAAAUAUUGAAACAUUAUAGAGAAACAUUAAAAAUAUGAACAGACAAAAUUAUUCUAAAGAAAAUGCUAAAUAUAAUGUCAGCACAUUUCUACCAGAAACAGAAGAAAACAGUACUAUGUCCCAAUAAACAGUGCACAGCAUCUGAAUCUAUAACAUAAUAUAUCAGUGACAGAAAUUAUGACUUUGCAUUAAAAUGAAACAUUAUCAGACUCAUGGACACUAAUGUCUCUUUAAUCUUAAUCACAGAGGUGAUUGAGAACUAAGACAGAUACAAAAAAAAAAAUGUGUUUAAUUUAAAGUGCAGACAGACAUGUUCCACUACAACCGUGUCACUUCCUGGGUGUGGUCGUCUAGAGAUGUGUAAAGCUCAGCACA
Non-coding RNA from Tachysurus fulvidraco (yellow catfish), 1111 nucleotides. Lineage: Eukaryota; Metazoa; Chordata; Actinopteri; Siluriformes; Bagridae. The record is from the annotation of a RefSeq genome assembly.